This 252-nucleotide ribosomal RNA is filed under the name uncultured bacterium. Its description in RNAcentral is "partial 16S ribosomal RNA". It matches the Rfam family "Bacterial small subunit ribosomal RNA", at positions 524 to 775 of the family's 1533-position model. The record is from RNAcentral.
GACGUGGGGGGCCAGCGUUGCUCGGAAUUACUGGGUGUAAAGGGUUCGUAGGCGGUGUAGCAAGUCGGGAGUGAAAUCUCUGGGCUCAACCCAGAGACUGCUUCCGAAACUGCUGUGCUUGAGUGUGGGAGAGGCGCGUGGAAUUGCAGGUGUAGCGGUGAAAUGCGUAGAUAUUCGCAAGAACACCAGUGGCGAAGGCGGCUCACUGGCCCGGUACUGACGCUGAGGUGCGAAAGCGUGGGGAGCAAACAG